GCCAGACCUACGCUCUCCGGAGCCGCGCGGACCCAGAACCGCUCCCACCACGCAGCGAUGGGGAGGUCGCGGCCUCGCCCGGAAAUUCUAUGAAUUAUUCAAGGCUCUGAGCAGUUCCUGCUUCUCCCACACCUUCUCUGAUUGGCCAAGCAGUGACCUCUCCCUUCCCUGAAUUCGGACGAAACCCACGGCUGGUACCACCAGUCGGCUCUGAUACAUAUUCUUUAUAUUAUUUAUCUUCUGAGUAUGUGAUUUGUCUUCCCAAUGAGAUUUUAAACUACCUGAGGCGGGGACCUUGUCUUUUGCUUCUUGUGUACUUUACUGCACAGCUAGUAAAAUGAAUUAAUUAACUCAGUAUGUAUUUUGUGUGUCCCCUCUCUGCACCAGACAGUGGUUUGGGUGCUGAGGAUACGGCAGGGAGCAAAACAGACACGUCUGUGCCCUCACGGCACUUAACAUUCCAUGGGGUCAGGCUAAGGGAUAGUAAACAAAA
RNAcentral lists this long non-coding RNA (493 nucleotides) under Homo sapiens (human). RNAcentral's name for it is "HSALNT0333821". The record is from RNAcentral. Lineage: Eukaryota; Metazoa; Chordata; Mammalia; Primates; Hominidae.